AGCAGCAUGGCGCAGUCUGGAAGCGCGCGGGGCCCAUAACAUGGAGUGAAACCCCGAGGUCACUCGAUCGAAACGAGUUGCUGCUA
Mycena alexandri is the source of this 86-nucleotide non-coding RNA. The record is from the annotation of a GenBank genome assembly. Lineage: Eukaryota; Fungi; Basidiomycota; Agaricomycetes; Agaricales; Mycenaceae.